GAUCAUGGCUCAGGAUGAACGCUGGCGGCGUGCUUAACACAUGCAAGUCGAACGAAGCACUUAAGAUUGACUCUUCGGAUGAUUUCUUUGUGACUUAGUGGCGGACGGGUGAGUAACGCGUGGGUAACCUGCCUCACACAGGGGGAUAACAGUUAGAAAUGACUGCUAAUACCGCAUAACCCGAUAGGAUCGCAUGAUCCAGACGGAAAAGAAUUUAUCGGUGUGAGAUGACCCG
Molecule: ribosomal RNA, 235 nt
Filed under: uncultured bacterium
Lineage: Bacteria
Description: partial 16S ribosomal RNA
Rfam family: Bacterial small subunit ribosomal RNA
Source: RNAcentral